This is an RNA transcript of Raphanus sativus (radish), 1787 nucleotides long. RefSeq lists it as uncharacterized. The record is from RefSeq and is a predicted model, not a curated record. The transcript is spliced from 2 exons. NCBI's taxonomy places the organism in Eukaryota, Viridiplantae, Streptophyta, Magnoliopsida, Brassicales, Brassicaceae.
AUAGAACUCAAACAGGUCUAUAACCAAAGUUUCAACAGAAUGAGUGUGAUUUUGAGAAUCCGGAAAACCAAAAUGAUUGGACUAAAUCAAAAAUCCGAUUCAGACCCCAAAUGUCCAUGCAUACUCGUGACUUGCAUUAUUUUCCUAGUAUUUAUUAAUAUAGUACAGAAUUUAAUUUGAUUGCCAAAGUCUAUACAUACACAGAGACUUUACUUAUACGCAAAGGAGGCAAACCGUCCACCGUCUCCGGCGAAGACAAAACCACCAGCAUGCCCCCUUCCUCCGACGCAUCUUGCCUCCACCCCUGCAAGCAUUCCCCGUCAGCGACUCUCGACCUCCUAAUCCUAAUCCUCGUCCUCUUCUCCGGCGCAUUCCUCGUCUCCUCCUACUUCUCCUACCUAAUCCACUCUUUAUACCUCCUCUCCUCUCAUUUCCCAUCCAUCCCUCUCUUCUCCGAUCACGACGGAAUCUCUCUGGCGUCGUUCUUGUUCUUGUUCGCGGUCUUCUUCGCGGCCUCCGUCGCGUUCCUCGACCUGUGCUGCGGCUCGAGAUCGAGGAGGAAGUGCCGUAACCCGAAGUGCAAAGGGCUGAAAAAAGCUGUGGAGUUUGAUCUGCAGCUUCAGACGGAGGAGAGUGUUGUCGAGUCGGGAUCGUCGAGGGGGAAGGAGAUUGAUCAGUUGCCGUGGAAAGGAGGGAGCGAGAGUAAUCCUCAUUACGAGUGUUUGAGAGCUGAGCUGAGGAAGAUGGCUCCGGUUAACGGCCGAGCUGUUUUGCUUUUCCGGUUGAGGUGUGGUUGCCCUGUUGCUAAGCUCGAAGGGCGAGGGCCCAAGCGAAGCAGACGUCAUAAAAAGUAAGUCAAAACUUAGAAAGAGUUUUGUAACGUGUAAUAAAUUUUAUUGGUUGCAACAUUUUUUUGGUGCCACUGAUCAGUUCAAGACCAGCAAUUACUAGUGAACGUGUCUGUUUAGAUAAUUCUGUAGGCAUUGGCAUAACCACUUCUUAUCUCGAUGAUUGAUAGUUUUUAGUGAACAUGCCUCUUUUGACUAGUGAAUUUUUGUGGUUAUGGUUUUCACCGUUAUGAUUUAAUUUUAUGAUUAGAUUGAAUCUUCCACUUGGGAAUUGAAAGGGAAACAAGUGAACAUGGUUCAAGUGGUUUGAUGUAAUGUCUUGUCUGGUGGCCCUAUUGUAUAAUCGUAACGUUAUUUGUUGAAAAUUAGUUAACGCACAUGCAGCCUUUUAACAUGGAACAUGUGCAUACGAGUUGUGAUUCUAAAAUCUCCCUAGUUUCAUUUUUGUGAAGUAGUUGUGUAAAGUUCACCAUCUUCAGUUUGUGAGAGUUAUGUACUAUAUAGCUCAACUAGAUGAUGAGAUGCCAGAAAAGGAUUAGAUUUAGAGUAUGGAGCAAUGGCUUUGCUGAUUCUGCUUUGCUUAUAGCUUCAGUAUUCCCGAUUCGAUGUGAUUAAUAUUGCCGGCAAAAUUAGCUGUAAAGGGAUGUGUAGACAAUCGCUGACGUGGAAAAUCUCCAAACUAUACUUACAGAUUAUCACAUUAAAAUGUUGCAGAUAUACAAUUUGCAGGUUCUUCUCUCAGAUUAGGAUUAUGAGGAAAACAUAAAAGUAUUGAAACUUUUCCAUUUCCUAUAGAGUUAAUCCCUGAAACUGUUAAAUGCCUUUCUUACUCUUGAACACUUCCUCUGUGUAACUUAUAUGUAAGUUUGUAACUAUGAAAAAUUCAACGUGAAUCAUCAUAAAAAAAAAAUCAAAUACAUUAAGUAAUGUUUUAUUUUC